CAAUAAGAGUGUUCUAUGGCACUCUUUCAAAAAAUCCAUACCCACCUUGUGUGCAAUGUAAGAAAAAGUGUUCUACAGGAGUCAAGGAAGGGAGAGUGGUCUCUGGCCAUUCUUUUUUCCCCUCUUGUAGGAAGCUUUUCUAAUUUACAUAAACACCUUUCUAUAUAGUUCCUAUAGUCUGAAGUUUAGUAGAAUUUACAUAAUUCUUAAAUACAACUUUCAACAAUGGAUCUCUUGGCUCUCGCAUCGAUGAAGAACGCAGCGAAAUGCGAUACGUAAUGUGAAUUGCAGAAUUCAGUGAAUCAUCGAAUCUUUGAACGCAUAUUGCGCUCUUUGGUAUUCCGAAGAGCAUGCUUGUUUGAGUAUCAGUAAACACCUCAACCCUACUACCUUUCUUGGGCUAGUCGGGCUGGAUUUGAGCAAACCCAACAAAAAGUCUUUUUUUUGGCGGGUUGCUUGAAAUGCAGGUGCAGCUGUAACAAGAACAGACUGAGCUAAAAGCAUAUCCAUUUAGUCCGCACUUGUUGUGGAUUAUCUAUUUGCUGCAGCUACUCUAAGGUCGUCUUGUAUGAGCUGACUGAUGCAGGAUUUGUUGCUCCUCUCUGAGGACUUCAAAACUCGAUCUCAAAUCAAGUAAGACUACCCGCUGAACUUAAGCAUAUCAAUAAGCGGAGGAAUCGCGUACUUGGUCAUUUAGAGGAAGUAAAAGUCGUAACAAGGUCUCCGUUGGUGAACCAGCGGAGGGAUCAUUACCGAGUUUACAACUCCCAAACCCCUGUGAACAUACCUAUCGUUGCUUCGGCGGAUCCGCCCCGGCGCCCUCGGGCCCGGAUCAGGCGCCCGCCGGAGACCCAAAACUCUUGUAUUUCUUUAGUAUCUUCUGAGUAAACAAGCAAAUAAAUUA
Molecule: unclassified non-coding RNA, 904 nt
Filed under: soil metagenome
Description: partial contains internal transcribed spacer 1, 5.8S ribosomal RNA, and internal transcribed spacer 2
Rfam family: 5.8S ribosomal RNA (bases 215-368)
Source: RNAcentral